Molecule: small nuclear RNA, 106 nt
Organism: Trichechus manatus latirostris (Florida manatee)
Lineage: Eukaryota; Metazoa; Chordata; Mammalia; Sirenia; Trichechidae
Source: RefSeq, a predicted model, not a curated record
AUGCCCCCUUGGCAGCACAUGUACUGAAAUUGGAACAAUGUAGAGAAGAUUAGCAUGACCCCUGCGCAAGGGUGACACGCAAAUUCGUGAAAGAAAGCGAGGCUUG